This is a long non-coding RNA of Pipistrellus kuhlii (Kuhl's pipistrelle), 4548 nucleotides long. RefSeq lists it as uncharacterized. NCBI's taxonomy places the organism in Eukaryota, Metazoa, Chordata, Mammalia, Chiroptera, Vespertilionidae. The record is from RefSeq and is a predicted model, not a curated record. The transcript has 2 exons.
AUGGAGCCUGCAACCGAGACAUGUGCCCUUGACCAGAAUUGAACCCAGGACCCUUCAGUCCAUGGACAGAUGCUAUAUCUACUGAGCCAAAAUAGCUAGGGCCAGAUAACUUUUAAAGGUUUUGGCAUAUUUGUUUUAAAUAUAAGCCUUAAUUUAUAAAGGCUAAAUGACUUAAUUUCCCAGCCCUUAAAAAAAUAUGCCCUAGCACAAUCCUGUAACCCUGAUCUUGUUUAUCAGGAAACAUUUAGUAGUUAUCUCUAAUGCAACCCCCUGAACAUCAUUUGUUCUUGAUUAUUUUUGUAAUCAUUGUAAAUACCUUUAAAAGAGAAUUUAGACUCAAAUCAAAGAACUAUUUUACUUGGUUUCUGGCCAAGAUACCUCUUUUGAGCUAUUUCUGGCUUUUCAGAGUUUUGGCAUGACAGCUUGUCCUGCCUCAGAGCUUCAGGAGGAAAAACUAGUCCCUUCAAAGCAAAUUCGUUACUGAGCCUAAUAGAAGGUUCAUAUGUAUGUUACAUAUUUGUUUAAGAGAAAGGAACUCCUUUGGUUCAUUUAAUCCUGUCCUGGUGAAUUUAGGUUUGAAUGGAUACCGAGGAAACAUUGAUCUUACAGCUGCAAAAUCAGCAAGCCUGGUAGGCUUCUGAUCAAGAUCACAUUAGCUCUUGCUUUAAGGCAUCUUCCUCAGCUCCUACCAUUUAUCCUGUGGUAGAUAAUAUAUGGAGUGAAACAAAAAUGGAAAAAGCCGUAGCUGAGCUUUAAAAUAAGAUGAACCUCUCUCUGGAUCAGAAAUGGAAACAAACACAGGGCACAGUCAGCAAUAUGUGGUGUGUAGUGGGCUUUCAGCUUCUGCUUAACAGGAAUUACAAUUUUCCUCACAAGGUGGGGCCCAGAGCCAGACAUUCGAAAUCGGGACCCCGCAAAAACACACCUGGAAAGGCACAUUCAUAGGCAUGCUUAUAUGUGAAAGAACAUUGAAAAAAGAACAGUUUGGAGGCUGCGGAGGACUUCUGCUUACUAGUAUAUGCAGACAUGGGCCUAAUGUGGAGCCUGGGGAAUAGGUGGGGAGUUGGGAAAGAGAGCAUCAGAGCCUUAAUACCAGGGCAUGAACCAUGCUGCCUGGUGGUGAAACUCACAACAACUGCACUCAUAUCAUUCAAUGUGACUGCUGCAGAUUAGCAAUCUAAGAUCUUGUAGCUCUUCCAGGCUAGAGGCCUGUGAAUGGCAGAUGGUCACUGCCACAAAACCACUUGAUGGGGAGAGGUGAGUUCCAGCAGGAGAGGAAAGCACACACCAUCUCUUUCAAAAUGUGUCUUCAAACCAAAAUCCAAAACACAUUAAAAAGUGAGAGUCCCUCCAAACUGACCAUCAAAAGAUGAAUUAAGCCUAGAUGAAAGUAAAAUGAUAGAAUGGUACAACAAGUAUUGCUUGUGAGUACAUUUGGAUGUGCUCAAAGACAUAAAUAAGAAAACACCUUUGUUAAAAAAGAACAAGAAGCUAAGACACAGGAAUAGAUGAAGAAUCGAUGGAUCUGAAAAAGACAUCUUUGGAAAUAAAAACUAUCACAACUGAGGCUACGAAACCCAAUAGACAGGAUAGAGUGGACCCAGUCACAGAAGAUAAAGAGAAUUAAAAGAUGAUUCUGAGGACUUUAUUGUGCACCACACUAAGAGAAAAAGAUAAGAAAUAUAAACGAGCAAUUAAAAGAGAUGAGGAAUUGGCCACAAGGCUCUAAAAUAUACCUAAUCGAAGUCUCAGAAGAGAAUGGAUGAAAUGGCAGAGAAGCAAUGUUUGAAGCUGUUAACAGCUGAAAAUCUUCCAGAACUGAAGAAGGAUGUGAGUUUUUAAGGAAAUGGUCUCCCGAGAGAAAUUUCAAACAUCUGGGAAGGCAAGAAAGGCUCUCCUUAGGAGCAAUUGGUAUUCUGCACAGCUCAGCUUUGGGAGGCCCUGGCUGAUUCAAAUGACCUUUUCUGUUUUUCACUGGAAAACAUAAAAACUGAAAUGUAAUGUGUUAUAUAUACUAAACCAUGUUUUCUGAGCAAAGGCACUUAUAAAUAACCCGUUAAAGGAGAAUCUGUAGACAACUAGACCCAGAGGAUCAAGAUAUCAAGGAAGACUUCUCUAAAAAAUGCCAUUACCUUUGUGAAAAGUAGGUGGCAAGAUAGUAAUAAUUUGUUUUUAGACAUGGUCUUCAGGGUAGUAUCACAAUGUUUUUAAAAAUAACAUUGUGGAUGACCCAAUAGAGUAGAAAGAAGAAUCCUGAAUAGGACAUUACGUAAGAAGGUAUUACUAGUUGGAACAUUUCAAUGAAGGUGAAUUUUUUUUUUUAUUGAAUACUGUAUGGGGGAAAAAUAAAAGAUAAUUCCUGUCAAGUGAAACCUUAUGAACAUUGGAUGCUGCUUCAAGUUCACAGAAGCAUUUAGGUGAUUGUCAGUUAGAUGGUCAGAAAUUGGAUUUAAUUAAUGCGGACAACUGCAUACCUUGGUUCACACCCAGAGGACUUACAUGCAGAAUCUGGCUGAAGGUAAACUUAUUUUGAUAAAUCUCUACUUAUUACUGCUUUGCAAAGCAGUUUGCUACAAAACAAACUGCACUCACAACUGUCCUUGAAGAUGGAGAACUGAUGGGAUUUCAGUCAAGACAAUUAGGAGAUUAUAUUCCUGUAGAUGAAACAGUCAUAUAUUGGUUUCCUACAUAACUUUAAAUUCCUAGAAAACUUAUAACGUUAGCUAUAAGGUAGAGCUUUAAAAAAAAAGAAAAAAGAAUAGAUUCGAUUUUAUUUCUUCUUUAAUGUGAAGAUACAUCAUUUUGAAACUAAGCAUUUGGAAGACAUGCCAUUCUCUGCCCAGAUACUGAACAACAGGAAAUAUUUUCCUAACAGAAAACCUGAUCAUGAAAUUAUCUUACUUUCUCCAGUGGGACAAUGGGAAAACUCUUUUCACCUCACUUGCAUCUCAUAUCUUUUCUCAUAGAUAUAGAUCCUCCACAUUUGUGGAUAGGAAGUUCUCUCGCCUGAUGAAAUAUCAUCUGUGAACAACAGAAAUUUGUCCUCUUAUUUUGGUAUUUAUUGUAAUUGAAAAAAAGGUAUCAAAGAGUUCUAGUCAGCCACCAGGUAUCUGAUAGCAGAAGUGUCAUCAAUGGGAACUGUAUUUCCAGCAAUUCUAAAGCAAGAAUGAAAUCUGUAAUCCUAAAUGUAUUUAUUAAAAAGCAUAAAAAUAAAUAUGAUUUAAGCAUUCAACAUGAAAAGCUAGAGGAAAAGGCAUAGGGAAUGGCACCACGUUAUUAUAGAUAUGAAAUGAGACUAGAAGUGAAGAGCUGACCUUUCACUGGAUCUGAAGACUCAAAAACAUGAAGUCUGUUCUUCCCAGAUUAAUAUAUAAAUUCAGUGUAAUUCAAACCCCAAAUUUCACCAAGAAUUUUGGUAUGAAAAGGUGACACUAAAAUCGCAGGGAAGAUCAAAGGGGUGAGAAGAGCAGAGACCAUUUUAAGGCAGAACAAUGGGAAUGGGAGGGUCUAUCACACACCAGCUUAUUUGAAGUUGCGGAGUGGCACCUGCAUGGGGUGGAGACAUACAAAGAAACCAAUGAAAUGGAAUCGAGAGCUCAAAUGCACACUGUGUGUUUAUGGACUCUUGACGAAUUGCCGAGGUACCGUUAGAAAUCACUGGGGGGAGAAACUAUAUAAUGAAUGAGGUUGGUUGGCUUAAUAAGUUAUCUAUGGGGAAAAGUAAAAGUAGAUCUUACGUUUAUGCCAAGCACAAAGGAUUCUGUGUAAAGUCCAAAAUGUGAAACUUUAUGUCAGUACAAGGAAAACAUAAAAAGCAGAAAAUGGAGUUAUAUAUGAAAAUUUAAGUUUUUUUGGACAACAGGACAUCGUAAACAAAGUUAAAGAUAAGCUAUGCAGAGAUAUGGGUAGGAGAUGAUAUUUGGUGUGCAUAUAGCUGGCAAAACAAUAAGCAUCCAGAAUAUAACCAGAACUUUAAUGACAAAAAGACAAUCUAGAGGGGAAAUGGGUAAAGAAAACGUGAAAAGCCAAUUAACGCAAAAGAAGUACAACCUCGCCAAUAAUAAAAGAUAUACAAAUUAAAAUGCACCCAUCAAAUUGGCUAAUGCUUAAGUAUUUGAUAACCCCAAGUCUUUGAUGAAGAUGUGGUUUAAUGAAAAAUCUCAUUCACUACUGGUAAGAGAGUAAAUUGGUAAAACCACUUAGGAGAGAAAUUUGGUAAUGUGUAGCAAUGUAAAUGUUGCUGGAACCCCAAAAUUCCACAUCUAGAUAUGUUCUGUAAGGAAUCUCUUAAACAGGUACCCAAGGAGACAUGUAGAAGGAAGUUCAUUGCAUCAUUGUAAUUGUGGCAAGUUGGGAAUUUAAAUGCCCAUUGACAGGAGAGUGUUGUGGGCAUAUUAAAGCAGCAGAAUAAUCCCUUACAGCACUUAAAAUCGCAAACUAGUAUGUAUCAACAUGGAUAACCCACCAAAAACAGUGUUGAAGGCAAAAAGCAACUCUUAGAAUGGUAUGUACAUUCUUAAACAUUAAAAUAGAAAGUUUAAAAACGUG